GACGAACGCUGGCGGCGUGCUUAACACAUGCAAGUCGAACGGAAAGGCCCUGCUUUUGUGGGUUGCUCGAGUGGCGAACGGGUGAGUAACACGUGAGUAACCUGCCCUUGACUUUGGGAGAACUUCAGGAAACUGGGGCGAAUACCGGAUAGGAGCUCCUGCUGCAUGGUGGGGGUUGGAAAGUGUCGGCUGUUGGGGAUGGACUCGCGGCUUAUCAGCUUGUUGGUGGGGUAGUGGCUUACCAGGGCUUUGACGGGUAGCCGGCCUGAGAGGGUGACCGGCCACAUUGGGACUGAGAUACGGCCCAGACUCCUACGGGAGGCAGUAGUGGGGAAUAUUGCACAAUGGGCGGAAGCCUGAUGCAGCAACGCCGCGUGCGGGAUGACGGCCUUCGGGUUGUAAACCGCUUUCGCCUGUGACGAAGCGUGAGUGACGGUAAUGGGUAAAGAAGCACCGGCUAACUACGUG
This 468-nucleotide ribosomal RNA is filed under the name uncultured bacterium. RNAcentral's name for it is "partial 16S ribosomal RNA". It matches the Rfam family "Bacterial small subunit ribosomal RNA", at positions 28 to 507 of the family's 1533-position model. The record is from RNAcentral.